GCAAAUUGUAAAUGGUAGCACUGCUCUGCCU
Molecule: non-coding RNA, 31 nt
Filed under: Homo sapiens (human)
Lineage: Eukaryota; Metazoa; Chordata; Mammalia; Primates; Hominidae
Source: RNAcentral